This 730-nucleotide long non-coding RNA is filed under the name Brassica napus (rape). RNAcentral's name for it is "long non-coding RNA (BNAP_LNC024663)". The record is from RNAcentral. Lineage: Eukaryota; Viridiplantae; Streptophyta; Magnoliopsida; Brassicales; Brassicaceae.
UAACAUUAUAUUUGUAUUAUUUUUUUGUCAACAUUAUAUUUUAUUGAAACCCAAGAGUUGAAAGUGUACAAAUAAUAAAGGCAACACACGAUUACAAGAUACGUGUAAGUUCUGCUCAACAAAGACAAGACACGUGUCAAAAAGAAGUCAUGCAUCUUGAAUCUUCUAGCUUCUCCGGUAAUUUUCACGGCCUUCAUCACCAACGACUUUCUCUAUCUCCAACGCUUUGAAUGUCGCCUUAAUUUGUACCCUCAACUCACUUUUUCGCUCUAACCGCUGCUUCAAAUUGGGACUUAAGACAUUCUUUGGUGAUUUAUCACUGGGAAUACUCAAUCAUAUUAGAGAAAGCUUUUUACUGGACCAUCUUCAAACAGGAAGAUGUCAAUUCUACUAAGCCUCUCAUACAACGAUUGAUAUUAACCCUAACAACUCCAUCUUUCUUUCCAUCUGAGAUACUUCACUCAGUUCAUAUGAGAUACUUCACUCAGUUCACUCAGUUCAUAAGGGGAAGAUUUACACUCAUAGAAAAGAGAUUAGAGCAUAACCUAAGAAGAAAAGAACCCAAAUCGAAACAAACGGGAUAUACAAAAGAAAAGGGGUGGUGACCGGCGGCGGGCCACCGGAAACGAUAUAAACUUUUGAAAACUUGUGGAAACUUCCCUCUUUUCUCUGUUUAAAAGAAACAAUCUACAUUAUAUUUGUAUAUAGAGUGAUUUACACUAUAGGGCAG